Molecule: long non-coding RNA, 473 nt
Filed under: Capsicum annuum
Lineage: Eukaryota; Viridiplantae; Streptophyta; Magnoliopsida; Solanales; Solanaceae
Description: long non-coding RNA (CANN_LNC015541)
Source: RNAcentral
GUUUAACUAUGGUCGGUACACACCCCACCAUAUAACUAACUUCUAUACAAUACCAAAAAUGACUGGAUAUAACACAAAAAGAUCCGAAGCAUACUGGCACUCACCAGAAGUAGCUGGAUAUCCUGGGUUCUACUUGUAAGGUGUAUGAGCUGAGGUACCUGUGCCUGCAGCAUGAAAUGCAGGUCCCCCGUGGGGGAUGUCAGUACAAAAUAUGUACUGAGUAUGUAAAGCUGUAGAUAAUCACAUAUGAUAUAGGAGCUCAAUAGAAAUCAGAAACAAGUGAAUAAAUUGUAAUAGGAGUGGACCACACUUACUAGAACUUGUGAUAACUUGUACAUUGUAUUUCUUCAAUCACUUUACCUUCAUUCUUAUCAUCUUUGUAAUCAUUACUGUACUGUACUGUGACCAUUAGGCUGCCUCCAAUACAUAUCAAUUGGGAUCGAUCCAUGAUAGGCUUAUGCCCCUGGGAUACC